GAGUUUGAUCUUGGCUCAGAUUGAACGCUGGCGGCAUGCCUUACACAUGCAAGUCGAACGGCAGCACGGGAGCUUGCUCCUGGUGGCGAGUGGCGAACGGGUGAGUAAUGCAUCGGAACGUAUCCUGGAGUGGGGGAUAACGUAGCGAAAGUUACGCUAAUACCGCAUAUUCUGUGAGCAGGAAAGCGGGGGACCUUCGGGCCUCGCGCUCUUGGAGCGGCCGAUGUCGGAUUAGCUAGUUGGUGAGGUAAAGGCUCACCAAGGCGACGAUCCGUAGCAGGUCUGAGAGGAUGAUCUGCCACACUGGAACUGAGACACGGUCCAGACUCCUACGGGAGGCAGCAGUGGGAAUUUGGACAAUGGGGCAACCCUGAUCCAGCCAUGCCGCGUGAGU
RNAcentral lists this ribosomal RNA (394 nucleotides) under bacterium enrichment culture clone ALO1_GLFRUDD03HKJ3M. Its description in RNAcentral is "bacterial SSU rRNA". It matches the Rfam family "Bacterial small subunit ribosomal RNA", at positions 9 to 406 of the family's 1533-position model. The record is from RNAcentral.